GUGGGGAAUCUUGCGCAAUGGGCGAAAGCCUGACGCAGCCAUGCCGCAUGAAUGAUGAAGGUCUUAGGAUUGUAAAAUUCUUUCACCGGGGACGAUAAUGACGGUACCCGGAGAAGAAGCCCCGGCUAACUUCGUGCCAGCAGCCGCGGUAAUACGAAGGGGGCUAGCGUUGCUCGGAAUUACUGGGCGUAAAGGGCGCGUAGGCGGACAGUUUAGUCAGAGGUGAAAGCCCAGGGCUCAACCUUGGAAUUGCCUUUGAUACUGGCUGUCUUGAGUACGGGAGAGGUGAGUGGAACUCCGAGUGUAGAGGUGAAAUUCGUAGAUAUUCGGAAGAACACCAGUGGCGAAGGCGACUCACUGGCCCGUUACUGACGCUGAGGCGCGAAAGCGUGGGGAGCAAACAGGAUUAGAUACCCCUGUAGUCC
Molecule: ribosomal RNA, 425 nt
Filed under: uncultured bacterium
Lineage: Bacteria
Description: partial 16S ribosomal RNA
Rfam family: Bacterial small subunit ribosomal RNA
Source: RNAcentral